Molecule: transfer RNA, 85 nt
Organism: Felis catus (domestic cat)
Lineage: Eukaryota; Metazoa; Chordata; Mammalia; Carnivora; Felidae
Rfam family: tRNA
About the family: Transfer RNA (tRNA) molecules are approximately 80 nucleotides in length. Their secondary structure includes four short double-helical elements and three loops (D, anti-codon, and T loops). Further hydrogen bonds mediate the characteristic L-shaped molecular structure. tRNAs have two regions of fundamental functional importance: the anti-codon, which is responsible for specific mRNA codon recognition, and the 3' end, to which the tRNAs corresponding amino acid is attached (by aminoacyl-tRNA synthetases). tRNAs cope with the degeneracy of the genetic code in two manners: having more than one tRNA (with a specific anti-codon) for a particular amino acid; and 'wobble' base-pairing, i.e. permitting non-standard base-pairing at the 3rd anti-codon position.
Source: Rfam
GCCUGGUUGGCUCAGUUGGUGAAGCAUCCAACUUCAGCUCAGGUCAUGAUCUCACAGUUCGUGGGUUCAAGCCCCACAUCAAGCU